UCCAGAUUAUUGGGGACAAAUGUCAGAUUGUCAUAGCCGUAAUGUCUUCCUGGCUGCCUGUGUUAUCAUCUACUGUUAAAAACUUUAUUACCCAUCACGCCAGCCACAGCAGAGGGAAAUCUAAUCAGUCUUCAAUGUAUUUGUAUACAAAAUAACUCAGAAAUUAUUCAGCAGAAUUUCACCAAACCUGGUAGGAACAUUCCUUGGGUGAAUGUCUCCAGGUGAUUAACUUUUGGGCCAGACUGAUCAAAGAUCAAGGUCAAAGUCCUCAGAAUGACAGUCU
Thalassophryne amazonica is the source of this 283-nucleotide long non-coding RNA. RefSeq lists it as uncharacterized. NCBI's taxonomy places the organism in Eukaryota, Metazoa, Chordata, Actinopteri, Batrachoidiformes, Batrachoididae. The record is from RefSeq and is a predicted model, not a curated record. The transcript is spliced from 2 exons.